CCAAACCCCUCUUCCCACCCCCAGGCUCCUGUCCUGCCCCUCCCACUUAUUUCUGUCUGCCCACACUGUCUGUCCUGGGGGAGCAGGCAGGGAAGGGUUAACAUACCUGCCUGGCCUCCACUACUGCUGCUACUGCCAGGCUGCUGUUUUUCUCUGGGCUCAGCCCAGACCAAAGAGCUGUGGAGGUGCAGCCAGACAGGCAGGUUAACCCUUACCUGUCUGCUUCCCACAACACACAGCAUGGGCACCCACAAAUUUUCUUGUAAACUAUUUCUUCAGCUAGGAGAGAGUGGAACACUGAAUUGGAAGUGUAUUCUCAAAAGAAACCUCACAGCUUCUAGUGCUGUAGAAAUCUGUGAUGGGUUCUACAGGAUACCACUGUGCACUCCAAAG
Alligator mississippiensis (American alligator) is the source of this 393-nucleotide long non-coding RNA. RefSeq lists it as uncharacterized. Lineage: Eukaryota; Metazoa; Chordata; Crocodylia; Alligatoridae. The transcript has 3 exons. The record is from RefSeq and is a predicted model, not a curated record.